Molecule: long non-coding RNA, 3445 nt
Organism: Pongo pygmaeus (Bornean orangutan)
Lineage: Eukaryota; Metazoa; Chordata; Mammalia; Primates; Hominidae
Exons: 4
Source: RefSeq, a predicted model, not a curated record
AAGGCAUCAUCUAUAAAGCAGGAAGCAAGCCCUUACAAGACUCUGAAUCUGUUGGAAACUUGAUUUUGGACUUCUCAGCCUUCAGAAUUGUGAGAAACAAAUUUCUGCUGUUUGGAGAGCUUUUCUUAUUGCACUGACUGGAUUCUACAAUAAAACGAUGAAAAGAAGCUGAGAUAAUAUGCACACUUGCCUCAUUCCUGAAUCUCAUGGGGAAAGCUUUGAAAAUUUACCUUAAGUGUAAUGAUGGCUGAGGAGUGAAAAGACAAGUGUGAGAACAGAGUAAAAGUGAAGAUAUGUAAGUAAAUCCUGAAGCCAUAGGGAAAAGCCAAAAGACACUGGACCAAGAGAAACAUCAGAAAAAAACUGCAGUUUUGGGAUAGAAGAUAGAGACAAGAAAUAUCAGUACACAAGGCACAGAUCUAUCGCCAGAGAAUUGUUCUUCAAGAUGACCAGCUUGACCUCUGAGUAAUCCUUCAUUUUCAGAAAGAAAUGACCCAUGUUUCCAGAUGAAUAGUAGCUUUCUCAACCUGUUUUUUACCUACAAAAGUACUGAAGAAAAAUAUAGGUGACAGUGGGAGGAAGUGGGCAUAAAUAUUCAUUCCAUCAAUUUCAUGAAUACAUCAAUAUGUAUUCAUUCUAUCAAUUUCAAGUAGACAGUUGAAUUUUCAAAUAAAAUAUUAUGAAGAAAAAUAUAAACAGCAGGAUAAAAUAAAUGUGGAAAUUGCUAAAACAAGAUAUAAACAUAAGUUAUAUUGAGCAAAAAUAAAUUCAUUUUACAAAUUAAAUUAUAAACCUAAAAUAAUGUUCCUGUAAGCAGAGACUCUUAUUAUUGCAUUUCAUCAAGUGCUGAAGAUGUCCCAGUGAUUUGAGUUGAAUAGAAUUAAGAGGAAAUUAGUCAAGGUAAAAUAAAUUCUAACAGAAAACAUAAUAGUUAUCUUUAUUUUGUCUCUAAAUGAAAUGUGAUAAGAAUUUUUUGGUUUUGCUUUUAUUUUUCUCAUCAGUGAUACCAAAAUGAAGUGCUGAUAUAUUCCCUAGCUACUAGAAAAAUUUGAAGUGUUGACUUGCUUGCUUUUGACUGCUUCUAAAACACAAUGAAAAUGAAAAUCUGCCUUUACAAACCUGAUUUUUAAAUUAUUCAAUAGACCUUUAAAAUAGUAUAAUUUGCAGUUUUUUUUAACUUGUAUUUGAUGUUCAGGGAUACAUGUACAGGUUUGUUACAUAGGUAAAUUUGUGUCAGAGGAGUUUGUUGUACAGAUUAUUAAUAUUUCAUCACCCAGGUAUUAAGCCUAUUACCUAUUAGUUAUUUUUUUCUGAUCCUCUCUUUCCUCCAACCCUCUACUCUCUGAUAGGCCCCAGUGUAUGUUGUUCCCCUCUAUGUGUCCAUGUGUUCUCAUCAUUUAUCUCCCACUUAUAAGUAAGGACAUGCAGUAUUUGGUUUUCUGUCCCUGUGUUAGUUUGCUAAGAAUAAUGGCCUUCAGUUCCAUCCAUGCCCUGCAAAGGACUUGAUAGCAUUCUUUUUUAUAAUUGAAUAGUAUUCCACAGAGUAUAUGUUCCACAUUUUAUUUAUCCAGUCUAUCAUUGAUUGGAAUUUAGGUAGAUUCCAUGUCUUUGCUAGUGUGAAUAGUGCUGCAAUGAAUAGACGUGUGCAUGUGUCUUUAUAAUAUAAUGAUUUAUAUUCUUUUGGGUAUCUACCCAGUAAUAGGAUAACUAUACAUCUGACAGAGGUGUAAUAUCCACAAUCUAAAAGGAACUUAAACAAAGUUACAGAAAAAAAUCAACCCCAUUAAAAAGUGGGAAAAGACAUGAACAGACGCUUCUCAAAAGAAGACAUACAUGUGGCCAAAAAUCAUAUGAAAGAAAGCUCAACAUGACUGAUCACUAGAGAAAUACAAAUCAAAACCAAAAUGAGAUACAAUCUAAUACCAGUCACAAUGGCUAUUAUUAAAAACAAAAAAUAACAGAUUCUGGUGAGGUUGUGGAGAAAAAGGGACUCACACACUGUUGGUGGGAGUGUAAAUUACUUCAACCAUUAUGGAAGACAGUGUGGUGAUUCCUCAAAGACCUAAAGACAGAACUUGCAAUUUUUAAAAUAAAUUUGGUCGCAUAAAUAUUUUGAAUACUGAUAUUUAUAUGCAUAUAUUACCUAGAUAUAGCCCUCCCAAUAAUCAGUUUUUUACAUUCAAAAGAAAGAUCAUGUCCAGGCCAAUCUUUACUAACCAUAAUACUAUCAAGAUAAAUAGGUAACCAGAGUUUCCUGUUCAUUGAUUUUGGGAAGCCUAUGUAUUAAUUCAGGAAAAUGAAUUUCAACAGCUUUAGUUCAUUUUUCUCUACUAAUGAUAUAUAAUGUAUUUCAAUUUUCACAUUUUAAUUAAAGCCAAUGAUAACAAUUGAACUCAUAUUUUAAUCAAUAAUAAAUAAUUACUAUUUCUAAUAUAAUUACAUUCUGUACUCUGUAUAAUAAAAUUACGUUUAUUCUUCACUGUGUAUAGUUUUUCCCUCAGUCUAGUGAAAAUGCCCACUUUAUAAAAACAAAGUGGAAUUAUUUAUUUAGAGUCUCAAUAUUAUUAUCUCUAAAAACUCUAACUAACCAAAUUGAAUUCAGUAAUAUCUACAUCAUCAUCUCCAACUUGAAGGAAUAUAUUUCCUUACCAAGUGAAGAAAAAAAGACAUCCUUAGUAGUACACUGUUCUUAAAAUAAAUACAAGUGGGAGAGGACUUGGUGUUUUUUUUUUUUCUCCCAUAGCCAGUAAGAUGAAAAAACUGCUCACAAAUGUCUCUUAUGAUUUCUCCUUUACUAGUUAUUCCAAAUAUUCCGAGUUUAUAUGAAGAUAUUUAAUUAAAUAUUACUCUCUAGAUGCCUGUUUGUAUCUCUACAUGUGAAUUGCUGAUCAAUUUCUUUUAAACCAUGGUCUCUGACUCAAAUAUAAAGGUAGGUACGUUGGUCAUGUUAGUGUGACUGUGGUUAUCAUUUCACAAUGUACACACACAUCAAACCAUCAUGUUGGAAAUCUUACAUAUGAUUUAAUUUGUCUGUAAUACCUCAAUAAAGCUGGAAAAUAAAGAGUGUUGAAGUUGCUAUAAGGGUUAUAGGAAAUGUCAUCCCUUGAAAAGGCUUGCAAACUCUGACAACAAAUAUAUACGAUUAAUGAGUUAAACUAAGAAAUAAGUACAAUAGAAACAAGAGCAUAAAGUGCAAAAUCACAUUAAAUAUGAAACUUUAAAACAUUAAUAUAUCUGUGUAGUAUGGGGGAAAAUAAAAUAUUAAAAAAUAUAAAACUUUAAGUGACUUCAAAUUUAAUAUGAAAUGAUUUAUAUGUCUUAAUGAAGAUUAAGUUAUCUGGGAAUUGAAAGGAUUCAGUCAGGGAAAAAAGCAUAGAAAAGGCAAGUGUGCAGAGACAAAUAAUAGCAUUUGCUUCCUGUACCGUGCAGAGGAGAGUCUGUGCAA